RNAcentral lists this ribosomal RNA (301 nucleotides) under uncultured bacterium. RNAcentral's name for it is "partial 16S ribosomal RNA". It matches the Rfam family "Bacterial small subunit ribosomal RNA", at positions 509 to 809 of the family's 1533-position model. The record is from RNAcentral.
CAGUCGCCGCGGUAAAACGUAGAGUGCAAGCGUUAAUCGGAAUUACUGGGCGUAAAGCGUGCGCAGGCGGUUAUAUAAGACAGAUGUGAAAUCCCCGGGCUCAACCUGGGAACUGCAUUUGUGACUGUAUAGCUAGAGUACGGCAGAGGGGGAUGGAAUUCCGCGUGUAGCAGUGAAAUGCGUAGAUAUGCGGAGGAACACCGAUGGCGAAGGCAAUCCCCUGGGCCUGUACUGACGCUCAUGCACGAAAGCGUGGGGAGCAAACAGGAUUAGAUACCCCUGUAGUCCCUGUCUCUUAUAA